Long non-coding RNA from Fundulus heteroclitus (mummichog), 408 nucleotides. RefSeq lists it as uncharacterized. NCBI's taxonomy places the organism in Eukaryota, Metazoa, Chordata, Actinopteri, Cyprinodontiformes, Fundulidae. The transcript has 2 exons. The record is from RefSeq and is a predicted model, not a curated record.
UUAAUCAAGACGCUGGGAGCUCUUACCAGGAAAACAGGGGAUGCACGCAUGGUAUGAAUUGACGACGACCCGACAACAAACUAAGGAGGGAGUGAGGCUUAAAUAGACGGAUAAACAGGUGAGCAGAAUUGAAAGUAAUUAACCGAAGGCGGGAGCAAUACAGAACUGACAGGACACUAGAUCACAGAACUAAAAUCAGAACUAAUACAGGGACCAGAAUAACUGAUGAAGUAAAAAGGCUAAACUGGAAUUCAAAACAGAAAUAAACCCAGAGGCAGAAAUAAGCCACUUAACCAAAACAAUAAACAUAGACCGGAUAACCUAAAACAGUACAAAAGCUGAAGAAGCCAAAACCUGAUAGCUGAUCAAAUAAAUAAACAUGAACCAAAACCCAAAUCAUGACAAUUU